GGGUCCCUACGGGGGGCAGCAGUGGGGAAUAUUGGGCAAUGGGCGCAAGCCUGACCCAGCAACGCCGCGUGAAUGAAGAAGGCCUUCGGGUUGUAAAAUUCUGUUAUAAGGGAAGAAAGGUGAUAGGAGGAAAUGACUAUCAAUUGACGGUACCUUACGAGAAAGCCACGGCUAACUACGUGCCAGCAGCCGCGGUAAUACGUAGGUGGCAAGCGUUAUCCGGAAUUAUUGGGCGUAAAGAGCGCGCAGGCGGUUAAUUAAGUCUGAUGUGAAAGCCCACGGCUUAACCCUGGAGGGUCAUUGGG
RNAcentral lists this ribosomal RNA (305 nucleotides) under uncultured bacterium. RNAcentral describes it as "bacterial SSU rRNA". It matches the Rfam family "Bacterial small subunit ribosomal RNA", at positions 333 to 630 of the family's 1533-position model. The record is from RNAcentral.